This 233-nucleotide unclassified non-coding RNA is filed under the name Hevea brasiliensis (rubber tree). Lineage: Eukaryota; Viridiplantae; Streptophyta; Magnoliopsida; Malpighiales; Euphorbiaceae. The record is from RNAcentral.
AAAAAGUAAGGCCAUCAAGAGUGUUCAUGAGAUGAAAGUACAUACAUAUACUUCAAAUGGAAAAGAUUUGAAAAACGUUUUAUGCCCUAGGUACCCACAAUGCCACAUAUAACACCAAAGCAUCAAUUCAGCUCUUAAGUAAUCAAUCAGUUCUAAGGUACUAAGGUCCUUGCCACUAUCUUAUCACACAAAUAAUGCUUAAAUUGUUUAGCAAGUAUUAAUACCUGUUCUAG